UGUUUACGUCCCUGCCCUUUGUACACACCGCCCAGUCGCUACUACCGAUUGAUGGCUCAGUGAGGCGUCCGGACUGGCCCAGAGAGGCGGGCAACUGCCACUCAGGGCCGGAAAGCUCUCCAAACUCGGUCAUUUAGAGGAAGUAAAAGUCGUAACAAGGUCUCCGUUGGUGAACCAGCGGAGGGAUCAUUA
Molecule: ribosomal RNA, 192 nt
Filed under: Calonectria indonesiae
Lineage: Eukaryota; Fungi; Ascomycota; Sordariomycetes; Hypocreales; Nectriaceae
Description: partial 18S ribosomal RNA
Rfam family: Eukaryotic small subunit ribosomal RNA
Source: RNAcentral